GUUCUUAUAAAUACUUUAAUUACACUGAAGCUUUAUCAGCAGGGAGCCAUGGGAAGUAUGUAGGGCCCUGGAUAAACAUUUUUAAAAGCAAGAACUAUUCAAGUUACACAAAAGACAGGACAGUCAUAACAACAGCAGCAACGACAACCACAACAAACUGGGGAAGCUGUACUUUUUAGGAGAGGAGGAUUGAAUUGUUUUUCUUUUCUUUUUAUGUCCCACUGUUGUUUUGGGGAAAAUACCUAAAAAAUGGGAAAGAUGAAGCCUGAGCAACCGAAGGUACCGAAGAAUUUUAAGUAGUGUCUUAGGAGAAAAUUAAAAGGAAACCUGAUUAACAGUGGUUCAGAGACAUUGAAACUCCGUAUAUUCAGGCUUGGCUAUUAGAUCUAAAAAAUAGAACAAGGAUCUGAGAUUUGAGAUCUGAUACCACAAAUGCCUUAAUGUGGCUGGCAUUCAUGAGAAGGUAUGCAACUAUUGUUGAAAUAUGAAGAACUCAGAAUGUCAAGAGAGAAGAGGAGGCUAUAUAAGCAAUAGGACUGGGAUAUGUGUGCAUUCCGAGUGCCUGGAGUGGCGAAGAUGGGGAAGAGAAAGGAUACAGAUGGAGUUCGAAUGGAUCUGGCAUGGAACAGUUCUGGGAACACAGCACUGAUAAAACUCUUAGGGAUGAAUUUACCUAUACCUGUGUUUCAGCCUUGUGAUCUGGGUUUGGCACGAUGAAAUGCUACUUUCAGAAAGAUGAGUAUGUCAGAAUCCCUGGUGAUUUCUAACGCUUAUGGAACACAUCACAUAGGAGCAAUUUAGAUGACAAAAAAGAGCACUCUUCAGUCUGGAUUUACACUGUGUUCCUAUUCACCGACACAUCAGCAAACAUUAUAAAUGCCUUGCCUGAGUAA
Long non-coding RNA from Homo sapiens (human), 893 nucleotides. Ensembl annotates it as long intergenic non-protein coding RNA 2240. The record is from Ensembl. NCBI's taxonomy places the organism in Eukaryota, Metazoa, Chordata, Mammalia, Primates, Hominidae.